RNAcentral lists this ribosomal RNA (497 nucleotides) under uncultured bacterium. RNAcentral describes it as "partial 16S ribosomal RNA". It matches the Rfam family "Bacterial small subunit ribosomal RNA", at positions 28 to 507 of the family's 1533-position model. The record is from RNAcentral.
GACGAACGCUGGCGGCGUGCCUAAUACAUGCAAGUUGAGCGAUGAAGAUUGGUGCUUGCACCAAUUUGCAGAGCAGCGAACGGGUGAGUAACGCGUGGGGAAUCUGCCUUUGAGCGGGGGACAACAUUUGGAAACGAAUGCUAAUACCGCAUAAUAACUUUAAACAUAAGUUUUAAGUUUGAAAGAUGCAAUUGCAUCACUCAAAGAUGAUCCCGCGUUGUAUUAGCUAGUUGGUGAGGUAAAGGCUCACCAAGGCGAUGAUACAUAGCCGACCUGAGAGGGUGAUCGGCCACAUUGGGACUGAGACACGGCCCAAACUCCUACGGGAGGCAGCAGUAGGGAAUCUUCGGCAAUGGACGAAAGUCUGACCGAGCAACGCCGCGUGAGUGAAGAAGGUUUUCGGAUCGUAAAACUCUGUUGGUAGAGAAGAACGUUGGUGAGAGUGGAAAGCUCAUCAAGUGACGGUAACUACACAGAAAGGGACGGCUAACUACGUG